GAAGGGCGCUGGCGGCGUGCCUAAUACAUGCAAGUCGAGCGCGGGAAGCUUGCGGAAUCUUUCGGGAGGAAGUGAGCGGACCGAGCGGCGGACGGGUGAGUAACACGUGGGCAACCUGCCCGUAAGACGGGGAUAACCCCGGGAAACCGGGGCUAAUACCGGAUAGGUGACCUUUCUGCAUGGAGGGGUCAUGAAAGGCGGCGGAAGCCGUCGCUUACGGAGGGGCCCGCGGCGCAUUAUCUAGUUGGUGAGGGAAGGGCUCACCAAGGCGACGAUGCGUAGCCGGCCUGAGAGGGUGAACGGCCACACUGGGACUGAGACACGGCCCAGACUCCUACGGGAGGCAGCAGUAGGGAAUCUUCCGCAAUGGACGGAAGUCUGACGGAGCAACGCCGCGUGAGUGAGGAAGGCCUUCGGGUCGUAAAGCUCUGUUGUUCGUGAAGAAGGGGUUGGCCAGGAAAUGGGCCGACAUUGACGGUAGCGAACCAGAAAGCCCCGGCUAACUACGUGCCAGCAGCCGCGGUAACACGUAGGGGGCAAGCGUUGUCCGGAAUGAUUGGGCGUAAAGGGCGCGCAGGCGGCCUCUUAAGUCUGAUGUGAAAGCCCACGGCUCAACCGUGGAGGGACAUUGGAAACUGGGGGGCUUGAGUGCAGGAGAGGGGAGUGGAAUUCCACGUGUAGCGGUGAAAUGCGUAGAGAUGUGGAGGAACACCAGUGGCGAAGGCGGCUCUCUGGCCUGUGACUGACGCUGAGGCGCGAAAGCGUGGGGAGCGAACAGGAUUAGAUACCCUGGUAGUCCACGCCGUAAACGAU
Molecule: ribosomal RNA, 813 nt
Filed under: uncultured organism
Description: SSU rRNA
Rfam family: Bacterial small subunit ribosomal RNA
Source: RNAcentral